UGGGGAAUUUUGCGCAAUGGGGGAAACCCUGACGCAGCAACGCCGCGUGGAGGAUGAAGGUCUUUGGAUUGUAAACUCCUUUCGAUCGGGACGAUGAUGACGGUACCGGAAGAAGAAGCACCGGCUAACUCCGUGCCAGCAGCCGCGGUAAGACGGAGGGUGCUAGCGUUGUUCGGAAUCACUGGGCGUAAAGGGCGCGUAGGCGGCCUUUGGUGUCGGAUGUGAAAGCCCGGGGCUCAACUCCGGAGGUGCAUCCGAAACUCGAAGGCUGGAGGCCGGAAGAGGAGGGUGGAAUACCCAGUGUAGAGGUGAAAUUCGUAGAUAUUGGGUGGAACACCGGUGGCGAAAGCGGCUCUCUGGUCCGGUCCUGACGCUGAGGCGCGAAAGCGUGGGGAGCAAAC
RNAcentral lists this ribosomal RNA (401 nucleotides) under uncultured bacterium. RNAcentral's name for it is "bacterial SSU rRNA". It matches the Rfam family "Bacterial small subunit ribosomal RNA", at positions 355 to 773 of the family's 1533-position model. The record is from RNAcentral.